Molecule: long non-coding RNA, 1105 nt
Organism: Bactrocera dorsalis (oriental fruit fly)
Lineage: Eukaryota; Metazoa; Arthropoda; Insecta; Diptera; Tephritidae
Exons: 3
Source: RefSeq, a predicted model, not a curated record
AGAAUAAACAGAAAUUAACAUAGUAAAUUCAUUUUUAGAAAAUCACCAAAUACAAAGUAUAUACAUAAAAGAUAAAAUUAAAUAGUGUUAAAAAUAUUUACAUUAAAUGGAAAAGAAGGGCAAAAUAUCACAUUUUGCGAAAACAGCAUCCACUUCUUUAAAAAAUUGCCACACAUAACUCAUUUUGGUUCUUUUUGACACAGACAUCUUUAAUUUUUAUUAAGUAUUAGUAAACUGAUUUGUAACAGUUUCGUACACAAAUUAAUGUAAAUGAUUUGUUAUUUUUUAAGACGCACAUUUUUAAAGUCGCACUAAAAUACCCUGCAAGACGGAGGUAACAGAUUGCACAAACACAUUGAAACAUUUUCAGCUGUUCACUAACACUGUUACAUUUUGUGCGAUUUUCAAUUGCAUGGGAGAAUACGUAAGUAAGAUAGAGAACAACUAACGACAUUCUAAACAUAUUGUAAUGUUAACUAGCUAGAAUAGGAGAGACGAAUACUCAAUUUUUCAAGAAGAAGCAAACGAAAAGCGCAGUUUCAAGAAUGAUAAAAACAAAGAUUGCGCAAUGACGAGUUCAAAUUUUGUUCGUUGUUCGUGGUAUUGCAGGCAUACAAAAUCAUGAAUAUCAUCAAAAGUUAACAUCAAUAUAAAUGAAUAUUAAUAAAAGAUAUCAAUAUAAGUGAAUAUUUUAUAGUGAACAUUUACCUACAUAUUCAUUUAACUGAAUUUUCAUUGUAUUAUUUAAUUUUGUCUCGUUGCUGUGUUUGUUUCAACCAUUUAUAUAUAACCCAAAAGUUGGAUGCCAUUAAGAGCCGUCUUACUGCAAUUUAAAACUCCCUAACAAACAAAAUGCCAGAAAAGGCCGAGAUGCAGACGCAUGCCGCGUCAUAGCGGCAUCACCGGUGACUUGGAGGAUGAGCAUUACGUGGAGCUCGAAUCGAAAUUGCCUAUGUCAUCGGAAGAGCACGGGUGCUUCGGGGACAAACAUUCACAAAUGAAAAUGGAUAUUAGUUUUAAGUUGUAAAUAUUAGUUUUAAGUUUGACAUAUUAGUUUUAAGUUGUAAAUAUUAGUUCUAAGUUGUAUAUAUUAGUUCUAAGUUGA